GGAGGGUUAGCCCAGUGGUAAGGCAUGUGCUUAGCACGCACGAGGUCCUGGGUUCAAUCCUCAGUACCUUCA
Molecule: transfer RNA, 72 nt
Filed under: Camelus bactrianus (Bactrian camel)
Lineage: Eukaryota; Metazoa; Chordata; Mammalia; Artiodactyla; Camelidae
Also listed under: 2 other names
Rfam family: tRNA
About the family: Transfer RNA (tRNA) molecules are approximately 80 nucleotides in length. Their secondary structure includes four short double-helical elements and three loops (D, anti-codon, and T loops).
Source: Rfam by way of RNAcentral